This 501-nucleotide ribosomal RNA is filed under the name uncultured bacterium. RNAcentral's name for it is "bacterial SSU rRNA". It matches the Rfam family "Bacterial small subunit ribosomal RNA", at positions 28 to 524 of the family's 1533-position model. The record is from RNAcentral.
GAUGAACGCUAGCGGCAGGCUUAAUACAUGCAAGUCGAGGGGCAGCAGGGGUAGCAAUACUCGCUGGCGACCGGCAAACGGGUGCGGAACACGUACAGAACCUUCCUUUAAGUGGGGAAUAGCCCAGAGAAAUUUGGAUUAAUACCCCGUAACAUUAUUUAGUGGCAUCACUUGAUAAUUAUAGAUUUAUCGCUUAGAGAUGGCUGUGCGGCUGAUUAGGUAGUUGGGUGGGUAACGGCCCACCAAGCCUUCGAUCAGUAACUGGUGUGAGAGCACGACCAGUCACACGGGCACUGAGACACGGGCCCGACUCCUACGGGAGGCAGCAGUAAGGAAUAUUGGUCAAUGGACGCAAGUCUGAACCAGCCAUGCCGCGUGAAGGAUGAAGGUCCUCUGGAUUGUAAACUUCUUUUAUCUGGGACGAAACACUCUUAUUCUUAAGAGCUUGACGGUACCAGAGGAAUAAGCACCGGCUAACUCCGUGCCAGCCGCCGCCGUAAC